GAAAUGCGAUAAUUAAUGUGAAUUGCAGAAUUCAGUGAAUCAUCGAGUCUUUGAACGCACAUUGCGCCCCCUGGUAUUCCGGGGGGCAUGCCUGUCCGAGCGUCAUUGCUGCCCUCAAGCACGGCUUGUGUGUUGGGCUUCCGUCCCUGGCAACGGGGACGGGCCCAAAAGGCAGUGGCGGCACCAUGUCUGGUCCUCGAGCGUAUGGGGCUUUGUCACCCGCUCGACUAGGGCCGGCCGGGCGCCAGCCGACGUCUCGGAUCAGGUAGGGAUACCCGCUGAACUUAA
This 288-nucleotide unclassified non-coding RNA is filed under the name uncultured Aspergillus. Its description in RNAcentral is "sequence contains ITS1". The stretch from base 1 to 105 matches the Rfam family "5.8S ribosomal RNA", at positions 50 to 154 of the family's 154-position model. Lineage: Eukaryota; Fungi; Ascomycota; Eurotiomycetes; Eurotiales; Aspergillaceae. The record is from RNAcentral.